GGUCGUGUUCUUAAGCUGCUAUAGCGACUGAUAAUGGUCGUGCCGCUGAGUUUAUAAGGAAGAGGGUUUAUAAGGAUAAGAGUAGGUGCUACGAGUGCGGCGCAAUUGAUGGGCAUUUGUCUUAUGAAUGCCCUAAAAAUCAAUUGGGGCCAAGGGAGCGACCAGAACCGAAGCGGGUAAGAAGGGGUGGAGUUGGUGCUAGGCACGAGGAGGAUUGGGGAUCGGAUGUUGGAGAAGGGUUUGAGGAUGACAAUUGGGCCUCGGUGGUGGACGGAGAUGCAGACCAGAGACUCCUGACUGGCGGUGAGAACAUUGUAGAGAAGAAAAAAGAGAAGAAAGCAAGUUAUUUCAGUGACGAGAGCGACGAAGAUGAUUAACUGAGCCUGUCUCUUUGGGAAGAGUUUGUAAAAGGGUAAUAAUGUUGCAAAGCUUUUUAAUAUUCCUCCACACAACCAUGGUUCCGUGUAUCAAGGUUGGAGACCAAAGUUGAGAGGCUAAAGUCGGUAGUACAAGUUGAAGAUAGGGAGAUUGCAACAGUUACACGAAUAGAAGCCAAAGGUAAGGCUGCUUUUAAAGCUCAAAUUGACAAGCUACAGUAGGAAAAUGUUGAACUCCAGAGAAGGGUUAUUGGCAAUCAGCAAGUAAGAACUCAACAAAUACAUGAGAUGAAGAAGAAAGAAAAGGAGUACAUCAAAUUGCAGGUGAGAACCUACAGGGUAUAGGAAUACCUACAGGAAAGCUGGAUAUGUAUGUUGCUGCUGCUGGCAUAAACCCUCAAAGAUGAAAGAGGCACUAUCAGCAUUGACAUGUACAUGUGAUUUUAGGCAUGAACCAGGAGAGUGAGAGUUUUAGUGUGCCGUGUUUAGAAUUUGCCGAUAUCUUUUCCCGUUCCAGCAAGUAUUCCUGAUUGUGGGGAUUCUUCCAGUAAUGCUAGAUAUUGGUACUAACAACGAGAAGUUACUUAAUGAUUCUCUUUGAUUUAUUGGAGUUGAGGAGUCCCACAAUCUUUAUGUUCUGUUUGUUUUUCCAUCACUUUUUCAAGGCUGUUCAAUUGGAGUUCCAUCUUCAGGUUGACGUGAUUGUCUUGACAGAUGGAAGUCGUAUUCUUGGCCUCGGUGACCUUGGAGUUCAGGGAAUAGGAAUACCUAGAUUGGAGGGAGAAGAGUAUCUAUCUAUUGUUGAUGAAUUUAUGGAAGUCGUGAUACAUGUUGGCCUAAAGCUAUUGUUCAGUUUGAGGACUUUCAAAUGAAAUGGGCUUUUGAAACAUUACAACGUUAUCGUAAGAGGUUCUGCAUGUUCAAUGAUGACAUACAAGGAACUUCUGGUGUUGCUCUCGCUGGACUAUUGGGAAAUGUGAGAGCUCAAGGGCAGCCAUUGAGUGAUUUGUUAACCAAAAGAUAGUAGUGGUAGGGGCUGGAAGGAACAAGGAUGAAUAAUCAAUGAAAAAGGAAUGAAGAGGUUUAUCCAUGCAAGCUUCAAACCAAAGCCAAGGAUGUCGAUCCUUCCAGGGGAGUCCAAAGUUCUCCCUUAUUUUUCUCCCUUUAUUUUGAUUUUCAAAAGUUUGCAAUUUUUUAAGUGGGGGUGGGCAAUUGCUUGCAUGUUUAGUCUAAACUUGGAGGUUCAAAUUUUGCCCAAAUUUCAAAAUUUCUAAAAAAAAUUUCCUUACAAUAAUGAGCACUAUACCUUCUUAGAUUACUUAGAUCUUGCAUAAAAAGCAUGACUAGCAACCCUUGAUCACUGAGCUUGGGUUUGUGAUGUAAAAUUCUGAAUGUUGAUGAGUAUAUGUGCUGAAAUUUGAGAAUAAGCUGCCAGUGUUUUUUGGUUUAAGCCCAUUUUUAGCGAUAUCUUAUGGAGAUGUGAAUGCAUGAUUGAGAAAAUGGUAUGUGUGUUGUGAAUGCUUGAUUGCAUGCAUAUAAUAAAUAAGUGCAUGGAUACUUUUCUAGCUUUGUCUUCCUUUGUUUCUUUGCCAUGACUUACCUAUGAUGCGCUUAGUCCAAACCUAGCCUAGAUAGAGUUAAAAAAGGAUAGGAGGUACUCUUUAGAAAUUGAGAUGGUUUUAACAAAUUUGUCUUGUCAAACAUGAGUUUGGAGCCUCUUGUCUAGCCACAAUGAACUAAAUCCCUUUAGAAAGGGUGGGCAUUAACAAAUCUUGUUGUCACUUCGAAGGGAGCAGUCAAACUUAGAAACUAAGUGUAGAACCAUAGAAAGGUUACCCCAUCGGUUAUUGUGUGCGUACCAAAGAAAGAAAAGAGAGACUUGCAAAUGUAAAACUUAAGACAGCGAGACAAUUAAGAGCUAAAAAAAACAAAGAACAUAUGCAUUAUACAUCAGAAAAAUCCCA
Molecule: long non-coding RNA, 2341 nt
Organism: Cucumis sativus (cucumber)
Lineage: Eukaryota; Viridiplantae; Streptophyta; Magnoliopsida; Cucurbitales; Cucurbitaceae
Exons: 11
Source: RefSeq, a predicted model, not a curated record